Syngnathus acus (greater pipefish) is the source of this 281-nucleotide long non-coding RNA. RefSeq lists it as uncharacterized. NCBI's taxonomy places the organism in Eukaryota, Metazoa, Chordata, Actinopteri, Syngnathiformes, Syngnathidae. The record is from RefSeq and is a predicted model, not a curated record. The transcript is spliced from 2 exons.
CGCUAACAAUGAGAACAUCUUUUGGGCUUGGAGAUUUUGAGGAGCAGAGUUCCGAGUGUGCGACGCAUUCACCAACAUGCGUGUGCGGCGUCGGGAUGAGCAAAGAAUGGAAGGAAAAUAGAAAGAGACGAACAGUCUUUAUUGGCCCUUUCUGCAACUCUGUACAAGCGGGCAUUUUUGCCCCCGCCUUCUUCAUCGACCUGCUAAAGGGCCACCGACACGGAAUGGAAAGACAAAGUCAAUCCGGUAAUUUGAAAAAAAAUAAUACAUAAAUAAAAUCC